UUGGAGGGCAAGUCUGGUGCCAGCAGCCGCGGUAAUUCCAGCUCCAAUAGCGUAUAUUAAAGUUGUUGCAGCUAAAAAGCUCGUAGUUGAAUUUCGGGAUCAAUCUGUUGGUUGUGCCUUUGGUACGUACUAGCUUAUUGAUUUCUCCCUUCUGACGAACCAUGAUGUCAUUAAUUUGGUGUCAUGGGGAAUCAGGACUGUUACUUUGAAAAAAUUAGAGUGUUUAAAGCAGGCUCACGCUUGAAUACAUUAGCAUGGAAUAAUGAAAUAGGACGUUUUGAUUCUAUUUUGUUGGUUUCUAGGAUCGACGUAAUGAUUAAUAGGGAUAGUUGGGGGCAUUAGUAUUCAAUUGUCAGAGGUGAAAUUCUUGGGUUUAUUGAAGACUAACUACUGCGAAAGCAUUUGCCAAGGAUGUUUUCAUUAAUCAAGAACGAAAGUUAGGGGAUCGAAGACGAUCAGAUACCGUCGUAGUCUUAACCAUAAACUAUGCCGACUAGGGAUCGGAUGAUGUUAAUUUUUUAAUGACUCAUUCGGCGCCUUACGGGAAACCAAAGUGUUUGGGUUC
RNAcentral lists this ribosomal RNA (565 nucleotides) under uncultured Glomeromycotina. RNAcentral's name for it is "SSU rRNA". It matches the Rfam family "Eukaryotic small subunit ribosomal RNA", at positions 548 to 1114 of the family's 1831-position model. The record is from RNAcentral. Lineage: Eukaryota; Fungi; Glomeromycota.